GGAGAGAUGGCCGAGUGGUCGAAGGCGCUCCCCUGCUAAGGGAGUAAGGGCCAAAAGCUCUUCGAGGGUUCGAAUCCCUCUCUCUCCGCCA
This 91-nucleotide transfer RNA is filed under the name Inquilinus sp. RNAcentral describes it as "tRNA-Ser". It matches the Rfam family "tRNA". From Rfam's summary of the family: Transfer RNA (tRNA) molecules are approximately 80 nucleotides in length. Lineage: Bacteria; Pseudomonadati; Pseudomonadota; Alphaproteobacteria; Rhodospirillales; Rhodospirillaceae. The record is from RNAcentral.